This 500-nucleotide ribosomal RNA is filed under the name uncultured bacterium. RNAcentral describes it as "bacterial SSU rRNA". It matches the Rfam family "Bacterial small subunit ribosomal RNA", at positions 28 to 505 of the family's 1533-position model. The record is from RNAcentral.
GACGAACGCUGGCGGCGUGCUUAACACAUGCAAGUCGAACGGAGAAUUUAUUUCGGUAAAUUCUUAGUGGCGAACGGGUGAGUAACGCGUGGGCAACCUGCCCUUCAGAUGGGGACAACAUCCCGAAAGGGGUGCUAAUACCGAAUACGAUCACGCUGCCGCAUGGCGGCGUGAUGAAAGAUGGCCUCUAUUUAUAAGCUAUCGCUGAAGGAUGGGCCUGCGUCUGAUUAGCUAGUUGGUGGGGUAACGGCCUACCAAGGCGAUGAUCAGUAGCCGGUCUGAGAGGAUGAACGGCCACAAUUGGGACUGAGACACGGCCCAAACUCCUACGGGAGGCAGCAGUGGGGAAUAUUCCGCAAUGGACGAAAGUCUGACGGAGCAACGCCGCGUGAGUGAUGAAGGUUUUCGGACUGUAAAGCUCUGUUGUUUAGGACGAAAAUGACCUGUUGCAAAUAGUUGCAGGUAUUGACGGUACUGAACGAGGAAGCACGGUAACUACG